This 462-nucleotide ribosomal RNA is filed under the name uncultured bacterium. Its description in RNAcentral is "partial 16S ribosomal RNA". It matches the Rfam family "Bacterial small subunit ribosomal RNA", at positions 28 to 522 of the family's 1533-position model. The record is from RNAcentral.
GAUGAAUGCUGGCGGCGCGCCUAACACAUGCAAGUCGAGCGGUAACAUGGACUUCGGUCUGAUGACGAGCGGCGGACGGCUGAGUAACGCGUGGGAACAUGCCCCAAAGUGAGGAAUAACUGCCCGAAAGGGUGGCUAAUGCCGCAUGUGAUCUUCGGAUUAAAGGAUUUAUCCGCUUUGGGAGUGGCCUGCGUACGAUUAGGUAGUUGGUGAGGUAAUGGCUCACCAAGCCUACGAUCGUUAACUGGUCUGAGAGGAUGAUCAGUCAGACUGGAACUGAGACACGGUCCAGACUCCUACGGGAGGCAGCAGUGAGGAAUCUUCCACAAUGGGCGAAAGCCUGAUGGAGCGACGCCGCGUGCAGGAUGAAGGCCUUCGGGUUGUAAACUGCUUUUAUAAGUGAAGAAUAUGACGGUAACUUAUGAAUAAGCACCGGCUAACUACGUGCCAGCCGCCGCUGUA